This 77-nucleotide transfer RNA is filed under the name Alphaproteobacteria bacterium. Its description in RNAcentral is "tRNA-Arg". It matches the Rfam family "tRNA". From Rfam's summary of the family: Transfer RNA (tRNA) molecules are approximately 80 nucleotides in length. Their secondary structure includes four short double-helical elements and three loops (D, anti-codon, and T loops). Lineage: Bacteria; Pseudomonadati; Pseudomonadota; Alphaproteobacteria. The record is from RNAcentral.
GGCUCCGUAGCUCAAUUGGAUAGAGCAUCGGCCUUCGAAGCCGAGGGUUGCAGGUUCAAGUCCUGCCGGGGUCGCCA